GCACUGGCAACUCAUCCUCUCUCUGCUGUAUGGUGCGGAGGGAGGUUUAAUCAGUGCGAGAUACAUGCAGCGGAAAUCCAGACGGUGCAUAUUUUAUCUAGCACUCCGUCACUACACCUCUGCUACACCU
Molecule: small nucleolar RNA, 130 nt
Organism: Spea bombifrons (plains spadefoot toad)
Lineage: Eukaryota; Metazoa; Chordata; Amphibia; Anura; Pelobatidae
Product: small nucleolar RNA SNORA55
Exons: 1
Source: RefSeq, a predicted model, not a curated record